UCAGUUUACAGAUGCGCCUCCAAUC
This 25-nucleotide non-coding RNA is filed under the name Mus musculus (house mouse). The record is from RNAcentral. Lineage: Eukaryota; Metazoa; Chordata; Mammalia; Rodentia; Muridae.